GGGUCUGCGUCUCAUUAGCUAGUUGGUAGGGUAAUGGCCUACCAAGGCAACGAUGAGUAGCUGGUCUGAGAGGAUGAUCAGCCACACUGGAACUGAAACACGGUCCAGACUCCUACGGGAGGCAGCAGUGGGGAAUAUUGCGCAAUGGGCGAAAGCCUGACGCAGCAACGCCGUGUGAGGGAUGAAGGCUUUCGGGUCGUAAACCUCUGUCGGAAGGGAAGAACGGGCAAUGGUCUAAUAGGCCGUUGUUUUGACGGUACCUUUAGAGGAAGCACCGGCUAACUCCGUGCCAGCAGCCGCGGUAAUACGGAGGGUGCAAGCGUUAUUCGGAAUUACUGGGCGUAAAGCGCACGUAGGCCGCUUUGUAAGUCAGGGGUGAAAUCCCACGGCUCAACCGUGGAACUGCCCUUGAAACUGCAGAGCUUGAAUCCUGGAGAGGGUGGCGGAAUUCCUGGUGUAGGAGUGAAAUCCGUAGAUAUCAGGAGGAACACCGGUGGCGA
RNAcentral lists this ribosomal RNA (500 nucleotides) under uncultured sulfate-reducing bacterium. RNAcentral describes it as "bacterial SSU rRNA". It matches the Rfam family "Bacterial small subunit ribosomal RNA", at positions 227 to 718 of the family's 1533-position model. The record is from RNAcentral.